RNAcentral lists this unclassified non-coding RNA (312 nucleotides) under Hevea brasiliensis (rubber tree). Lineage: Eukaryota; Viridiplantae; Streptophyta; Magnoliopsida; Malpighiales; Euphorbiaceae. The record is from RNAcentral.
GUCGACAACGGUACCACCGCCUCCGCCGUGACAGUCACCGGCAAGACCCGCGUCCUCCCCACCAAGCCGCCGGCGCUCCCAACCUGCCCACUCACCACGUUCGACCUCCCAUACAUUACGUUUUACUACAACCAGAAGCUGCUGCUGUACAAAAGUGAUGGUGGGCUUGAGGAUAAUGUGGAGAGGAUGAAGGAAGGGCUUGCGGCGGCGCUGGAGUGGUUCUACCCGCUGGCUGGGAGGUUGGCGAAGGAUGAGGAGGGGGUGUUGGUGGUGGACUGUGACGGGGAAGGGCUGGUGGGAGCGGAGGUGAUA